ACUUCCCAAACCCAAUGUGAACCAUACCAAACUGUUGCCUCGGCGGGGUCACGCCCCGGGUGCGUCGCAGCCCCGGAACCAGGCGCCCGCCGGAGGGACCAACGUAACUCUUUCUGUAGUCCCCUCGCGGACGUUAUUUCUUACAGCUCUGAGCAAAAAUUCAAAAUGAAUCAAAACUUUCAACAACGGAUCUCUUGGUUCUGGCUUCGAUGAAGAACGCAGCGAAAUGCGAUAAGUAAUGUGAAUUGCAGAAUUCAGUGAAUCAUCGAAUCUUUGAACGCACAUUGCGCCCCCCAGUAUUCUGGCGGGCAUGCCUGUCCGAGCGUCAUUUCAACCCUCGAACCCCUCCGGGGGGUCGGCGUUGGGGACUUCGGGAACCCCUAAGACGGGAUCCCGGCCCCGAAAUACAGUGGCGGUCUCGCCGCAGCCUCUCCUGCGCAGUAGUUUGCACAACUCGCACCGGGAGCGCGGCGCGUCCACGUCCGUAAAACACCCAACUUCUGAAAUGUUGACCUCGGAUCAGGUAGGAAUACCCGCUGAACUUAAGCAUAUCAAUAAGCGGAGGAA
This 567-nucleotide ribosomal RNA is filed under the name fungal endophyte. RNAcentral's name for it is "eukaryotic LSU rRNA". The stretch from base 175 to 328 matches the Rfam family "5.8S ribosomal RNA". The record is from RNAcentral. Lineage: Eukaryota; Fungi.